This is a non-coding RNA of Pelobates cultripes (western spadefoot toad), 288 nucleotides long. Lineage: Eukaryota; Metazoa; Chordata; Amphibia; Anura; Pelobatidae. The record is from the annotation of a GenBank genome assembly.
AUCUAAGCACAUGCCAAAAAGAACCUAACUCUGAAAGGAAAGCUCAAGUCUGGAAACCAAAAGUAAGCCACAAGGCUGUAUCUUUCCAUCUUAAAGGAGCCACAACAAUUAAAGCUAGUCUCAGACUUCAUGUGGAAUUCCUAAAGGAACACUCUACUGCCAAAAUACACAAACAAAUAAACCCACUGUUUAGUAGAUACACCCCACAUGAAAACAUGCACACAUUUAAUUAUGCAUUUAAAAGGCGCAGAUCUAGUCUGCUGUCUUUGCAAGCCCUUACCUUCUAAC